GACGAACGCUGGCGGCGUGCCUAAUACAUGCAAGUUGAGCGAUGAAGAUUGGUGCUUGCACCAAUUUGAAGAGCAGCGAACGGGUGAGUAACGCGUGGGGAAUCUGCCUUUGAGCGGGGGACAACAUUUGGAAACGAAUGCUAAUACCGCAUAACAACUUUAAACAUAAGUUUUAAGUUUGAAAGAUGCAAUUGCAUCACUCAAAGAUGAUCCCGCGUUGUAUUAGCUAGUUGGUGAGGUAAAGGCUCACCAAGGCGAUGAUACAUAGCCGACCUGAGAGGGUGAUCGGCCACAUUGGGACUGAGACACGGCCCAAAAUCCUACGGGAGGCAGCAGUAGGGAAUCUUCGGCAAUGGAAGAAAGUCUGACCGAGCAACGCCGCGUGAGUGAAGAAGGUUUUCGGAUCGUAAAACUCUGUUGGUAGAGAAGAACGUUGGUGAGAGUGGAAAGCUCAUCAAGUGACGGUAACUACCCAGAAAGGGACGGCUAACUACGUG
RNAcentral lists this ribosomal RNA (497 nucleotides) under uncultured bacterium. Its description in RNAcentral is "partial 16S ribosomal RNA". It matches the Rfam family "Bacterial small subunit ribosomal RNA", at positions 28 to 507 of the family's 1533-position model. The record is from RNAcentral.